UGGAGGAGGAGUGAGCACAGGGUUUCCGGCUUUAUUGCUUUGUAGGUGAAGAACGGUGCUAGAUCACCUGUCUGUGAAGCCACAGCUGAAUUCUAUGGAGAGUGUUGUGCAUGUGCAGGUUUCAUACUCUGGUUUACAGAGCAGGAGCAAGCCCGUCGUGUGAGAUCUCCUCCGUGCUUAGGAUUCCCACACCUCAGAAAAGAGAGCAGGUUUCUUCAGUCAGAGAUUUCAGGCCGCUAGCCUGUCAACUACGGCACGGAUGCUCUGCAGGACUGCUUGUGCUGGUGCUGCCUUCCUUUCUGGUAUUAUUGAGUGGAGAGGAGCCGCCCUCUGUGCAGGAUUAAGUUAAGUUUCCGGAGGGACCCAGAGGUGCCCCCAGCCACGCACCUCCGAGGGGGCUGUUGGGAUGCUUCCCCCUGCAGGCUUCAAAGUGUUUGCACCUGGGUGGACGUGAGCUGAGAGUUAAGUGAUGGGAGAUCGCGAGCAAGAACACGGGAAGGGAUCUAAGGGGGGUGAAGUCUUAAGCCACGAGGAAGCUUGUCAGGAUGACUGGAAGAACGCAGUUGGAGUUGCAUAAGGCUUCUGAUGCUGUACCUGAGCUUGUAAAUAGGGAGCGGUUGUCCUCUUGGAAACUUGCAGUUCCCCUGCACAGAGAACCCGGCACCACGACGUGGGUUUGUUUUACAUCCCGUGCAGCUCAUUAGGGACGAUGGGCAGUUGAUGAUGGACACCUUCCUUUCCUGAGCUCUCCACAGUGUGAGUAAAGAACAUCGAUGCGGGGCUGUUAUUCCCUGACAGGAAUUCUUCUGACAGGAGGAUGGUGCUAGCCACCCGGCAG
Molecule: long non-coding RNA, 838 nt
Organism: Cygnus olor (mute swan)
Lineage: Eukaryota; Metazoa; Chordata; Aves; Anseriformes; Anatidae
Exons: 4
Source: RefSeq, a predicted model, not a curated record